CCCGGAGAGGAGAGACCAGAAGCCUGGGAUAUAUGUGACCUGAGAAGCAAGGAGAUGGCAUAGUUGGGCAUGGCUCUUUAUCAAAGACCCCUUUCCUCUCCUGGGGUCUCUGGCCCCUAGAUCUCUGACCUUCUCUGGUGUCUUUUCUCUUCCAUCUUACAGAGCCUGCCAAGGUCAAUGAGAAGAAGACACAAAGGAACAGAUCAAGAGCCAAUUCUUGACAAAGAGUAAAUAAAUCCUGGAAGGAGCUGAAGAACAAAACAGUGCUCCCAACCCCAGCACGGAGAAGGACUCCUCUUUUCUUUAAUUCAAUUUUGCUAUAACAGAAAAAUUUAAAAAGUGAGAGAAUAGUAAAAUGGCCUGACGUUCUCACCAUUUAAUUUGGAACACGUGUUGACCCUGGCCUCGUCUUUUCUCAUCUCUUUCUGACUCUCUCCACCAUGUGGAUGAUCUCAUACUUUAUCUGCAGGUGCUUCUGUGACCUUAAUAUAGGACUUUAGAAGACACAACUCUAGAGCUGGAGAGAUGGCUGACUGGAUAAACUGCCACCAAAGACUGGAACCCAAGUUCUAGUCCUAGAUUCCAUGUAAAGAUAGGAGGAGAGAGCUGAAUCCUGAAAAUUUUUCUCUAACCUCCAUAUGUGUGUUUCUCUCUCUCUCUCUCUCUCACACACACACACGUUCAUACUCACACGUGCAUGCACACCUGUUAAUAAUAAUAAGCAAAAAGUUAAAAAAGAAAUCACA
This 746-nucleotide long non-coding RNA is filed under the name Mus musculus (house mouse). RNAcentral describes it as "predicted gene, 34397". Lineage: Eukaryota; Metazoa; Chordata; Mammalia; Rodentia; Muridae. The record is from RNAcentral.